This 253-nucleotide ribosomal RNA is filed under the name uncultured bacterium. RNAcentral's name for it is "partial 16S ribosomal RNA". It matches the Rfam family "Bacterial small subunit ribosomal RNA", at positions 524 to 776 of the family's 1533-position model. The record is from RNAcentral.
UACGUAGGGCGCAAGCGUUGUCCGGAAUUAUUGGGCGUAAAGAGCUCGUAGGCGGCUUGUCGCGUCGGACGUGAAAGCUCAGGGCUUAACCCUGAGUCUGCGUUCGAUACGGGCAGGCUAGAGGCAGGUAGGGGAGAACGGAAUUCCCGGUGUAGCGGUGAAAUGCGCAGAUAUCAAGUGGAACACCAGUGGCGAAGGCGAGUCCCUGGACAUUUCCUGACACUGAGGCACGAAAGCUAGGGGAGCAAACAGG